CAGUAGCCGCGGUAAUACGUAGGGUGCGAGCGUUAAUCGGAAUUACUGGGCGUAAAGCGUGCGCAGGCGGUUAUAUAAGACAGAUGUGAAAUCCCCGGGCUCAACCUGGGACCUGCAUUUGUGACUGUAUAGCUAGAGUACGGUAGAAGGGGAUGGAAUUCCGCGUGUAGCAGUGAAAUGCGUAGAUAUGCGGAGGAACACCGAUGGCGAAGGCAAUCCCCUGGACCUGUACUGACGCUCAUGCACGAAAGCGUGGGGAGCAAACAGGAUUAGAUACCCCCGUAGUCCCUGUCUCUUAUAC
RNAcentral lists this ribosomal RNA (301 nucleotides) under uncultured bacterium. RNAcentral describes it as "partial 16S ribosomal RNA". It matches the Rfam family "Bacterial small subunit ribosomal RNA", at positions 509 to 807 of the family's 1533-position model. The record is from RNAcentral.